This 483-nucleotide ribosomal RNA is filed under the name uncultured bacterium. Its description in RNAcentral is "bacterial SSU rRNA". It matches the Rfam family "Bacterial small subunit ribosomal RNA", at positions 28 to 523 of the family's 1533-position model. The record is from RNAcentral.
GACGAACGCUGGCGGCGUGCUUAACACAUGCAAGUCACGGGGGCCCGCAAGGGUAACCGGCGAACGGGUGCGUAACACGUGAGCAAUCUGCCGUACACUGGGGAUAGCCGGCCCAACGGCCGGGUAAUACCGCAUACGUUCCUCGCCUGGCAUCAGGUGGGGAGGAAACCUCCGGGGGUGUACGAGGAGCUCGCGGCCUAUCAGCUAGUUGGUGGGGUAACGGCCUACCAAGGCGAUGACGGGUAGCUGGUCUGAGAGGAUGGCCAGCCACAUUGGGACUGAGAUACGGCCCAGACUCCUACGGGAGGCAGCAGUGGGGAAUAUUGCGCAAUGGCCGCAAGGCUGACGCAGCGACGCCGCGUGGGGGGAUGAAGCAUUUCGGUGUGUAAACCCCUGUUGCUCGGGACGAACAACCCUUUUCGAGGGGUCUGACGGUACCGGGUGAGGAAGCACCGGCUAACUCCGUGCCAGCAGCCGCGGUAA